This 508-nucleotide ribosomal RNA is filed under the name uncultured bacterium. Its description in RNAcentral is "partial 16S ribosomal RNA". It matches the Rfam family "Bacterial small subunit ribosomal RNA", at positions 30 to 523 of the family's 1533-position model. The record is from RNAcentral.
AUUGAACGCUGGCGGCAUGCCUUACACAUGCAAGUCGAACGGCAGCGGGGGAGAAGCUUGCUUUUCCUGCCGGCGAGUGGCGAACGGGUGAGUAAUACAUCGGAACGUGCCCUGUAGUGGGGGAUAACUAGUCGAAAGAUUAGCUAAUACCGCAUACGACCUGAGGGUGAAAGUGGGGGACCGCAAGGCCUCAUGCUAUAGGAGCGGCCGAUGUCUGAUUAGCUAGUUGGUGGGGUAAAGGCCUACCAAGGCGACUAUCAGUAGCUGGUCUGAGAGGACGAGCAGCCACACUGGGACUGAGACACGGCCCAGACUCCUACGGGAGGCAGCAGUGGGGAAUUUUGGACAAUGGGCGAAAGCCUGAUCCAGCAAUGCCGCGUGUGUGAAGAAGGCCUUCGGGUUGUAAAGCGCUUUUGUCCGGAAAGAAAUGGCUCUGGUUAAUACCUGGGGUCGAUGACGGUACCGGAAGAAUAAGGACCGGCUAACUACGUGCCAGCCGCCGCGGUAA